RNAcentral lists this ribosomal RNA (2916 nucleotides) under Acinetobacter baumannii. RNAcentral's name for it is "23S ribosomal RNA". It matches the Rfam family "Bacterial large subunit ribosomal RNA". The record is from RNAcentral. Lineage: Bacteria; Pseudomonadati; Pseudomonadota; Gammaproteobacteria; Moraxellales; Moraxellaceae.
GUUGUAUAGUCAAGUAAUUAAGUGCAUGUGGUGGAUGCCUUGGCAGUCAGAGGCGAUGAAAGACGUGAUAGCCUGCGAAAAGCUCCGGGGAGGCGGCAAAUAUCCUUUGAUCCGGAGAUGUCUGAAUGGGGGAACCCACCUACUUUAAGGUAGGUAUUGCAACAUGAAUACAUAGUGUUGCAAGGCGAACGAGGGGAAGUGAAACAUCUCAGUACCCUUAGGAAAAGAAAUCAAUUGAGAUUCCCUCAGUAGCGGCGAGCGAACGGGGAUCAGCCCAUUAAGUUAUGUGUGUUUUAGUGGAACGCUCUGGGAAGUGCGAACGUAGAGGGUGAUAUUCCCGUACACGAAAGGGCACACAUAAUGAUGACGAGUAGGGCGAGGCACGUGAAACCUUGUCUGAAUAUGGGGGGACCAUCCUCCAAGGCUAAAUACUCCUGACUGACCGAUAGUGAACCAGUACCGUGAGGGAAAGGCGAAAAGAACCCCUGUGAGGGGAGUGAAAUAGAUCCUGAAACCGCAUGCAUACAAGCAGUGGGAGCACCUUCGUGGUGUGACUGCGUACCUUUUGUAUAAUGGGUCAGCGACUUAUAUUCAGUAGCAAGGUUAACCGUAUAGGGGAGCCGUAGAGAAAUCGAGUCUUAAUAGGGCGUUUAGUUGCUGGGUAUAGACCCGAAACCAGGCGAUCUAUCCAUGAGCAGGUUGAAGGUUGGGUAACACUAACUGGAGGACCGAACCCACUGUCGUUGAAAAGCCAGGGGAUGACUUGUGGAUAGGGGUGAAAGGCUAAUCAAGCCUGGUGAUAGCUGGUUCUCCCCGAAAGCUAUUUAGGUAGCGCCUCGGACGAAUACCAUAGGGGGUAGAGCACUGUUUCGGCUAGGGGGUCAUCCCGACUUACCAAACCGAUGCAAACUCCGAAUACCUAUGAGUACUAUCCGGGAGACAGACUGCGGGUGCUAACGUCCGUAGUCAAGAGGAAAACAAUCCAGACCGCCAGCUAAGGCCCCAAAAUCAUAGUUAAGUGGGAAACGAUGUGGGAAGGCAUAGACAGCUAGGAGGUUGGCUUAGAAGCAGCCACCCUUUAAAGAAAGCGUAAUAGCUCACUAGUCGAGUCGGCCUGCGCGGAAGAUGUAACGGGGCUAAAACUAUGUGCCGAAGCUGCGGAUNNNNNNNNNNNNNNNNNNNNNNNNNNNNNNNNNNNNNNNNNNNNNNNNNNNNNNNNNNNAUGCUGGAGGUAUCAGAAGUGCGAAUGCUGACGUGAGUAACGACAAAACGGGUGAAAAACCCGUUCGCCGAAAGACCAAGGGUUCCAGUCCAACGUUAAUCGGGGCUGGGUGAGUCGACCCCUAAGGCGAGGCCGAAAGGCGUAGUCGAUGGGAAAAUGGUUAAUAUUCCAUUACUUCUGUGUAAUGCGAUGAGAGGACGGAGAAGGCUAAAUCAGCCUGGCGUUGGUUGUCCAGGUGAAAGGAUGUAGGCAUGUAUCUUAGGCAAAUCCGGGGUACUCUAUGCUGAGAUCUGAUAGCAAGCUGUACUUGUACAGCGAAGUGGUUGAUGCCAUGCUUCCAGGAAAAGUCUCUAAGCUUCAGUUACACAGGAAUCGUACCCGAAACCGACACAGGUGGUCAGGUCGAGUAGACCAAGGCGCUUGAGAGAACUCUGCUGAAGGAACUAGGCAAAAUGGUACCGUAACUUCGGGAGAAGGUACGCUGUUGUUGGUGAUGGAACUCGCUUCCUGAGCUGACGACAGCCGCAGAAACCAGGCCGCUGCAACUGUUUAUUAAAAACAUAGCACUCUGCAAACACGAAAGUGGACGUAUAGGGUGUGAUGCCUGCCCGGUGCUGGAAGGUUAAUUGAUGGGGUUAGCGUAAGCGAAGCUCUUGAUCGAAGCCCCAGUAAACGGCGGCCGUAACUAUAACGGUCCUAAGGUAGCGAAAUUCCUUGUCGGGUAAGUUCCGACCUGCACGAAUGGCAUAAUGAUGGCGGCGCUGUCUCCAGCAGAGGCUCAGUGAAAUCGAAAUCGCUGUGAAGAUGCAGUGUACCCGCGGCUAGACGGAAAGACCCCGUGAACCUUUACUGCAGCUUGACACUGAACUUUGACCUUACUUGUGUAGGAUAGGUGGGAGGCUUUGAAGCUGGAACGCUAGUUCCAGUGGAGCCGUCCUUGAAAUACCACCCUGGUAAUGUUGAGGUUCUAACUCUGUCCCGUGAUCCGGGACGAGGACCGUGUCUGGUGGGUAGUUUGACUGGGGCGGUCUCCUCCUAAAGAGUAACGGAGGAGUACGAAGGUGCGCUCAGCGUGGUCGGAAAUCACGCGUAGAGUAUAAAGGCAAAAGCGCGCUUAACUGCGAGACCCACAAGUCGAGCAGGUACGAAAGUAGGUCUUAGUGAUCCGGUGGUUCUGUAUGGAAGGGCCAUCGCUCAACGGAUAAAAGGUACUCUGGGGAUAACAGGCUGAUACCGCCCAAGAGUUCAUAUCGACGGCGGUGUUUGGCACCUCGAUGUCGGCUCAUCUCAUCCUGGGGCUGAAGCAGGUCCCAAGGGUAUGGCUGUUCGCCAUUUAAAGAGGUACGCGAGCUGGGUUUAGAACGUCGUGAGACAGUUCGGUCCCUAUCUACCGUGGGCGCUGGAAAUUUGAGAGGAUCUGCUCCUAGUACGAGAGGACCAGAGUGGACGAACCUCUGGUGUACCGGUUGUGACGCCAGUCGCAUCGCCGGGUAGCUAUGUUCGGAAGGGAUAACCGCUGAAAGCAUCUAAGCGGGAAGCCUACCUCAAGAUAAGAUUUCCCUAGGACUUUAUGUCCUCUAAAGAGCCGUUCGAGACUAGGACGUUGAUAGGUUGGAUGUGGAAGCAUAGUGAUAUGUGAAGCUGACCAAUACUAAUUGCUCGUGAGGCUUGACUAUACAACACCCAAGCAGUUG